RNAcentral lists this unclassified non-coding RNA (377 nucleotides) under soil metagenome. RNAcentral describes it as "partial contains 5.8S ribosomal RNA, internal transcribed spacer 2, and large subunit ribosomal RNA". The stretch from base 1 to 120 matches the Rfam family "5.8S ribosomal RNA", at positions 35 to 154 of the family's 154-position model. The record is from RNAcentral.
GAUGAAGAACGUAGCGAAAUGCGAUAAGUAAUGUGAAUUGCAGAAUUCAGUGAAUCAUCGAAUCUUUGAACGCACCUUGCACCCUUUGGCAUUCCGAAGGGUAUGCUCGUUUGAGUGUCAUUGUACUCUCACACUUCCGAUCUUUGGAUUGGGAGCGGUGGACUUGGGUGUUGCUGCUUGCUGUGGCUCACCUCAAAUCGAUUCGUGCACCUCUUGGUUGGACAUAGUACGGCGUGAUAAGUGUCUUCGCCGGCACCUCAGUAGAGGGUGGCUGAUCGGGAGCUCUGCUUCAAACCGUCCUCGGACAACAACUGACAACUUGACCUCAAAUCGAGUAGGACUACCCGCUGAACUUAAGCAUAUCAAUAAGCGGAGGA